UACCAAGAGUUACUGAACAAACACAAUGGCUCACAGGUAUCCAUGGGAACGAUAGAGAGGUUUGCGUUCUAUGACACGGCCAAGAAAGCUUACGCAGUCAUCGCAACAGGGGAGACUGCAAUCUACGGCAACAUCAUCUUGACCAAGGGAAACACGUUCAACUAGGGGGCAAGCUGUCAGGAUUCACCCCGCCCCAAAACUCCGGUCCCCUCUUCCACACCCCUGCAGUGUUCUCAAGGGCAUCCAUCCCCUGGGGCGACAGACGAGGCACCAAUCAUGCAGUUUUCCCUACCAAGUGGGUCCUUAGGAGUUGGCAGCUUUUCUCUGUGCUGCUGUGCAGAUGUAGUGUAUGUAUAGCUCUGUUCACACGUGGUUUUAAACUUCAAGUUUGCGAAGGCUGAAAGUUUUAAAUGACAUGGAAUCACACAGGACCGAAAAAAUGAAUGUUCAAAGUUUUAAACGAGUUGAGCAAGCUUUCCUUGUAUCUAAAUGUGCAAGCCGGUGAAAUCUCAAAGUUCUAUGCACUGCAGAAAACUUCAAGUAAAAACCCCAAUUGCUCAUGUUUUAUAACCUCAAUUCAACUUAAUGUUUUGAAACAAUGACUGCAUCCCCACGGCCCUUGACUACGAGAUAACCUCAAAGUUUAAAAAACUAGGUGCUAAACUUCAGUGCAUGGAAUCUCUUGUGUGAACAUGACUUAUGUAUUUAAUGGGUAGGAUUAAAUAAUUGAAUCCUCAAGUAAUACCUCUGUAAUGGGUAAUGACAGAACAUAGAGGGCUGGGUGACCCAGGCAAUGAAACAUCGGUGAAGGGAAAUUUGAAGCGGAGUAGCCGUGAGAAAAAUGAUAAUACUAAUUUGGGACCAAGUAUUUUGUAAACACAGAUGGUUGCAGCGGAAAAAAGUGUUGCUAAAAUCAUUGGAACACUGCCAGGUUAGAAUUGCAUGGCCAAUUGCACCAUCCAUGACUUGGCAACAUAAUGGUAUGUGGUUAAAUACUGAUCGUGCAAGAAAAAAAUUGCUUUGUGAUAAAAAGAAAUUAUCCAGAAGUUAUGUGGAAUGUUUAAAUAUGUAGUAAACAAAUGUAAUCGUGAAUUAUGAUGUUUUAAACAAUCAAAAUGAUAGAAAAUUGAUUUUAGUGAAAAUUUAAAAAAUGGUUAGAGCACUGCACAGGAAUAUGGGUAUACGGGACUCCACACGUUUAACUACAUGAAUACCUAAGCUUUAUUAGAAUACAAGGGUACUUCAAUACUCCAGAGCAAUCUUCAUCACUUGAAAUUAUACUAUGACGUUCAUCCACAUAGGAAUUUUUUAAAGAAACAAGAAAGGUACUUAUUUUCUUUUUACCCAUGUCUGAAUUCAACCUCUUAAAUUUUGCCUGGAGAAAGCAAGAAUUCAUGGAUAAAAGAAACUUAACAUUGAAGAAUAUGUUGGGUGUAAGCAAAUUCUAUUAACUUCUUAUAAUUUUAAAUUGAAAUACUUGUAUAAGAGUGCUUGAGAUACUGUAUGGCAUGGCAUGUGGGCACGGAGAGGGACUGCGUAACUGAUCACUUGUGCUUUCACGUUGCUGUACAAGUAUGUCGACUGUGACGUAAUUAUCCUCUCAAGGUACAAAAUAACAUAUCUUGCUAUUGUAAAGAUGUUGUAAAAGAAAGAAAUUUAACAAUGAAGAAAAUGUUGUGUUCCAAGCAAAUUCUAUUGAUUUCUUAUACCGGUAAUUUUAGAUUGAAGUACUUGUAUAAGAGUGCCUGAGAUACUGUAUGGAAAAACAUGUGGGCACGAAGAAGGACUGCGUAACUGAUCACAUGUGCAUCCGCAUAGGAAUUUUUAAAAAAUAACCAAGAAAGGUACUAAUUUUAUUUUUUACCUUUAUCUGAAUUCAACCUCUUAAAUUUUGCUCCAAGCAAUUUCAAUUUAUUUCUUAUAAUUUUAAAUUGAAAUACUUGUAUAAGAGUGUUUGAGAUACUAUAUGGCAAAACAUGUGGGCACGGAGAAGGACUGCGUAACUGAUCACAUGUGCUAUCACGUUACUGUACAAGUAUGUCGACUGCGACGUAAUUAUCCUCUCAAGGUACAAAAUAACAUAUCUUGCUAUUUUCUUGAUUAAGUACUUUUACAGACAUGGUUGAAAGACAAGGAGAUGUCAUCAAUGAAAGAAACCCAGCGUACGAAAGUCGUCAAGCAUAAAUACUUGACUUUGCAAGUGUUCUUGGUGUAUCCCUCUUAUGAAACGAACAACCCACGUCCAAUUUUCUCAUCACAUAUUGGUCAAAUAAUUUGAUCAAUGGUUGAUGUGUGUAUCUCAGUUUUUCACAGUCUUAGGAUAUAAAAGCAUUCAUGACUGGAAAGUGAAUGUUUAUGAUUAUUAGAUUGAUAUGAUAUGUGAUUGAGAUGGAUUAUUUGUUUUAAAAAAUAUAUUGUAAAAGGUGACUAGAAAGCCAACUUGAAGGGUCUUUUUAAUGUGACAUUGACUGCUGAGAAAACAAAAAUUGAUUACUUAUUUUCAUAACUAUGUCAAGAAAUCUAAAGUAAUCUCUAUUUUUAUAUUACAUGAAUAAUGGGAAUGUGUGAUAUUUAUAGUAGAUUUAUGUUUUGUAAUGAAAUCACACAUAAAUUGAUGAUGGCCAUUCUCUCUUGAAGGGUUUUCUCUUAGAAUUCAGCUGAGUAUCUAUCAUGUGACUGCAUUAAUUGUAAAAGAAACUGUGUGGAAGUAAUGGUGAGAGGUCGAUGAUGUAGUACAUACAAUUACAUAUACAUAAAACGAAUAGAUAUUGACUUGAUUGUGCUGAAAAAAAUGCUUUUAAACCAUUUAUGGCAUUCUAUCAUUCUAUCGUAAUUCCAUUUUUUUUACACCUCAUGUAUUUUGAAGAAAUAAUUGAUUAAAACAUGUUAACUAAAAAAUA
Molecule: RNA transcript, 2900 nt
Organism: Strongylocentrotus purpuratus (purple sea urchin)
Lineage: Eukaryota; Metazoa; Echinodermata; Echinoidea; Camarodonta; Strongylocentrotidae
Exons: 3
Source: RefSeq, a predicted model, not a curated record